AUUGAACGCUGGCGGCAUGCCUUACACAUGCAAGUCGAACGGCAGCGGACCUUCGGGUGCCGGCGAGUGGCGAACGGGUGAGUAAUAUAUCGGAACGUACCUUUCAGUGGGGGAUAACGUAGCGAAAGUUACGCUAAUACCGCAUAUUCUGUGAGCAGGAAAAGCAGGGGAUCGCAAGACCUUGCGCUGAUUGAGCGGCCGAUAUCAGAUUAGCUAGUUGGUGAGGUAAAGGCUCACCAAGGCGACGAUCUGUAGCGGGUCUGAGAGGAUGAUCCGCCACACUGGAACUGAGACACGGUCCAGACUCCUACGGGAGGCAGCAGUGGGGAAUUUUGGACAAUGGGCGCAAGCCUGAUCCAGCCAUGCCGCGUGAGUGAAGAAGGCCUCGGUUGUAAGUCGUACUUCGGUCCGGACGGAAAGUACGCGACAGGUUAA
Molecule: ribosomal RNA, 435 nt
Filed under: uncultured bacterium
Lineage: Bacteria
Description: bacterial SSU rRNA
Rfam family: Bacterial small subunit ribosomal RNA
Source: RNAcentral